CCUACGGGAGGCAGCAGUGGGGAAUAUUGCGCAAUGGGCGAAAGCCUGACGCAGCGACGCCGCGUGCGGGAUGAAGGUCUUCGGAUCGUAAACCUCUGUCAGCAGGGAAGUACGGUCCCUGUGCUAAUCAGCAGUGAAUUGACGGUACCUGCAAAGGAAGCACCGGCUAACUCCGUGCCAGCAGCCGCGGUAAUACGGAGGGUGCGAGAGUUAAUCGGAAUUACUGGGCGUAAAGCGCUCGUAUGCGGUAUGUCAAGUCAAGGGUGAAAUCCCGGCGCUCAACGUGGGAACUGCCUGUGAAACUGGGAAACUGGAGGAUGUGAGAGGAUAGUGGAAUUCCAGGUGUAGGAGUGAAAGCCGUAGAUAUCUGGAGGAACAUCAGUGGCGAAGGCGACUAUCUGGCACAUAACUGACGCUGAGGAGCGAAAGCGUGGGUAGCAAACAGGAUUAGAGACCCCAGUAGUC
This 465-nucleotide ribosomal RNA is filed under the name uncultured bacterium. Its description in RNAcentral is "partial 16S ribosomal RNA". It matches the Rfam family "Bacterial small subunit ribosomal RNA", at positions 338 to 795 of the family's 1533-position model. The record is from RNAcentral.